AUUGAACGCUGGCGGCAGGCUUAACACAUGCAAGUCGAGCGGGGGAAGGUAGCUUGCUACUGGACCUAGCGGCGGACGGGUGAGUAAUGCUUAGGAAUCUGCCUAUUAGUGGGGGACAACAUCUCGAAAGGGCUGCUAAUACCGCAUACGUCCUACGGGAGAAAGCAGGGGAUCUUCGGACCUUGCGCUAAUAGAUGAGCCUAAGUCGGAGUAGCUAGUUGGUGGGGUAAAGGCCUACCAAGGCGACGAUCUGUAGCGGGUCUGAGAGGAUGAGCCGCCACACUGGGACUGAGACACGGCCCAGACUCCUACGGGAGGCAGCAGUGGGGAAUAUUGGACAAUGGGGGGAACCCUGAUCCAGCCAUGCCGCGUGUGUGAAGAAGGCCUUAUGGUUGUAAAGCACUUUAAGCGAGGAGGAGGCUACUCUAGUUAAUACCUAGGGAUAGUGGGCGUUACUCGCAGAAUAAGCACCGGCUAACUCUGUGCCAGCCGCCGCGGUAA
Molecule: ribosomal RNA, 501 nt
Filed under: uncultured bacterium
Lineage: Bacteria
Description: partial 16S ribosomal RNA
Rfam family: Bacterial small subunit ribosomal RNA
Source: RNAcentral